GUGAAUCAUCGAAUUUUUGAACGCAAAUUGCACUCCCCUCGGAGAGUAUGCCUGUCUGAGGGUCAGCCUAAAAAAAAUCGACAUCGUUGCUGUUCCGCGGUGACGUUCGUCGGAAAUUGGGUUAUCUUAAACCUUUUGGUUUAAGCGACUUAAAAUUUUCCUUUUGAUUCCAUGAACGUUUCUAAGAUUUAUUUCUUUACACGUUUAAGGUAUCGAUUUUUAUUAGACGUGGCCGUCAUAUCGGAUCGCGUCGGAAUUGAGCCGUCUUUCAAAUGUUAAUUCAUGUCAAAGUGGCUUAAAA
This 301-nucleotide unclassified non-coding RNA is filed under the name Glomeraceae sp. RNAcentral describes it as "partial contains 5.8S ribosomal RNA and internal transcribed spacer 2". The stretch from base 1 to 65 matches the Rfam family "5.8S ribosomal RNA", at positions 84 to 154 of the family's 154-position model. The record is from RNAcentral. Lineage: Eukaryota; Fungi; Glomeromycota; Glomeromycetes; Glomerales; Glomeraceae.